AGAGUUUGAUCAUGGCUCAGGAUGAACGCUGGCGGCGUGCCUAACACAUGCAAGUCGAACGAAGCACCUUUUGAGAUACUUCGGAUGAUCGAUCGGUGACUGAGUGGCGGACGGGUGAGUAACGCGUGGGUAACCUGCCCUGUACAGGGGGAUAACAGCUGGAAACGGCUGCUAAUACCGCAUAAGCGCACGAGGAGACAUCUCUUUGUGUGAAAAACUCCGGUGGUACAGGAUGGGCCCGCGUCUGAUUAGCUGGUUGGCAGGGUAACGGCCUACCAAGGCGACGAUCAGUAGCCGGUCUGAGAGGAUGAACGGCCACAUUGGAACUGAGACACGGUCCAAACUCCUACGGGAGGCAGCAGUGGGGAAUAUUGCACAAUGGGGGAAACCCUGAUGCAGCAACGCCGCGUGAGUGAAGAAGUAUUUCGGUAUGUAAAGCUCUAUCAGCAGGGAAGAUAAUGACGGUACCUGACUAAGAAGCUCCGGCUAAAUACGUGCCAGCAGCCGCGGUAAUACGUAUGGAGCAAGCGUUAUCCGGAUUUACUGGGUGUAAAGGGUGCGUAGGUGGCAGUGCAAGUCAGAUGUGAAAGGCCGGGGCUCAACCCCGGAGCUGCAUUUGAAACUGCUCGGCUAGAGUACAGGAGAGGCAGGCGGAAUUCCUAGUGUAGCGGUGAAAUGCGUAGAUAUUAGGAGGAACACCAGUGGCGAAGGCGGCCUGCUGGACUGUUACUGACACUGAGGCACGAAAGCGUGGGGAGCAAACAGGAUUAGAUACCCUGGUAGU
RNAcentral lists this ribosomal RNA (784 nucleotides) under uncultured bacterium. Its description in RNAcentral is "bacterial SSU rRNA". It matches the Rfam family "Bacterial small subunit ribosomal RNA", at positions 8 to 794 of the family's 1533-position model. The record is from RNAcentral.